UACGGAGGGGGCUAGCGUUGUUCGGAAUUACUGGGCGUAAAGCGCACGUAGGCGGCUUUGUAAGUUAGAGGUGAAAGCCCGGAGCUCAACUCCGGAAUUGCCUUUAAGACUGCAUCGCUUGAAUCAUGGAGAGGUGAGUGGAAUUCCGAGUGUAGAGGUGAAAUUCGUAGAUAUUCGGAAGAACACCAGUGGCGAAGGCGACUUACUGGACACAUAUUGACGCUGAGGUGCGAAAGCGUGGGGAGCAAACAGG
Molecule: ribosomal RNA, 253 nt
Filed under: uncultured bacterium
Lineage: Bacteria
Description: partial 16S ribosomal RNA
Rfam family: Bacterial small subunit ribosomal RNA
Source: RNAcentral